UAAGGAAAUGCAGUUUUUCACGGUAAAGGUACUGUUACAACAGCAGAAGUCACGUGAUGCUGGUAACACGUAAUGAGUAUCUGGAACGUUCCUGAAGGCUCCAGUGUUUGCCAGACGCCCUCUAUUUUGUAUAAGACUAGCGAGAAGUGACGGGAGAGAUAAUUGAAGUGCAGACAGGCAGAGAUAGAAAUGGACAAUUGAGUCAAGCAUGGUAGGCUCCAGUGCUUGUGGCUUUAGCAUUGCUUGAAUUGGGAAUGAAAUAUGAAGAUGCUGUGGAGCUCAUUAGACAAAAGAGACAAGGAGC
Long non-coding RNA from Limulus polyphemus (Atlantic horseshoe crab), 304 nucleotides. RefSeq lists it as uncharacterized. The transcript has 3 exons. NCBI's taxonomy places the organism in Eukaryota, Metazoa, Arthropoda, Merostomata, Xiphosura, Limulidae. The record is from RefSeq and is a predicted model, not a curated record.